This 460-nucleotide ribosomal RNA is filed under the name uncultured bacterium. RNAcentral's name for it is "partial 16S ribosomal RNA". It matches the Rfam family "Bacterial small subunit ribosomal RNA", at positions 338 to 795 of the family's 1533-position model. The record is from RNAcentral.
CCUACGGGAGACAGCAGUGAGGAAUAUUGGUCAAUGGUCGUAAGACUGAACCAGCCAAGCCGCGUGAAGGACGACGGCCCUAUGGUUUGUAAACUGCUUUUAUGCGGGGAUAAAUGUCUUCACGUGUGAUUUUUUGUAUGUACCGUAUGAAUAAGGACCGGCUAGUUCCGUGCCAGCAGCCGCGGUAAUACGGUGGGUGCGGGCGUUGUCCGGAUUUAGUGGGUUUAACGGGAGCGUAGGGUGGUUGUUAAGCUAGCAGUGAACUGCCGUGGCUCAACCAUACCACUGCGGUGGUAACUGGAAUACUGGAGUGCGAGGAAGGUAGGCGGAAUUCGUGGUGUAGCGGUGAAAUGCAUAGAUAUCACGAAGAAAUCCGAUAGCGAAGGCAGCAAACGGAAGCGCAACUGACGCUGAAGCGCGAAGGCGCGGGUAGCAAACAGGAUUAGAUACCCUUGUAGUC